This 617-nucleotide ribosomal RNA is filed under the name uncultured Glomeromycotina. RNAcentral's name for it is "eukaryotic LSU rRNA". It matches the Rfam family "Eukaryotic large subunit ribosomal RNA", at positions 293 to 766 of the family's 3401-position model. The record is from RNAcentral. Lineage: Eukaryota; Fungi; Glomeromycota.
UGGGAGGUAAAUUUCUCCUAAGGCUAAAUAACGGCGAGAGACCGAUAGCGAACAAGUACCGUGAGGGAAAGAUGAAAAGAACUUUGAAAAGAGAGUUAAACAGUACGUGAAAUUGUUGAAAGGGAAACGAUUGAAGCCAGUCGUACCUUCGGGUAAUCAGCCUUUCGGGUGCGACUCUGUGAGGUGUGAGGAGUUAAACGCCUUCAUGUUUUGCAUAAUUCGUGCUCUUGGGUGUACUUGCCCGUGUGGUUGGUUAACAUCAAUUUUGGACGCCAUAAAAUGACUGGAGGAAUGUAGCUUCGAUCUCGUAUUGAAGUGUUAUAGCCUUCGGUAGAUGUGGUUUUCGAGAUUGAGGAUUGCAACGGAUACCCUUCGGGGCUACCUAUCUGAUCUCUGAUCGUUGCUCUGGUGCCGAAAGCUUGCUUACGGUUAUUAAAGUCGAUGGUUAAUAGGUUAGAAUAGGUUAAAUUCGUUAAGGAUGUUGACGUAAUGGCUUUAAACGACCCGUCUUGAAACACGGACCGAGGAGUCUAACAUAUAUGCGAGUGUUAGGGUGAUUAAACCCUUACGCGUAAUGAAAGUAAUUUUGGUGGGAUCACUUUUGUGCACCAUCGACC